GACGAACGCUGGCGGCGUGCUUAACACAUGCAAGUCGAACGGUAAGGCCCUUCGGGGUACACGAGUGGCGAACAGGUGAGUAACACGUGGGUGAUCUGCCCUGCACUUCGGGAUAAGCCUGGGAAACUGGGUCUAAUACCGGAUAGGACCACUGCCUGCAUGGGUGGUGGUGGAAAGCUUUUGCGGUGUGGGAUGGGCCCGCGGCCUAUCAGCUUGUUGGUGGGGUGAUGGCCUACCAAGGCGACGACGGGUAGCCGGCCUGAGAGGGUGACCGGCCACACUGGGACUGAGAUACUGUCCAGACUCCUACGGGAGGCAGCAGUGGGGAAUAUUGCACAAUGGGCGCAAGCCUGAUGCAGCGACGCCGCGUGAGGGAUGACGGCCUUCGGGUUGUAAACCUCUUUCAGCACCGACGAAGCGCAAGUGACGGUAGGUGCAGAAGAAGGACCGGCCAACUACGUGCCAGCCGCCGCCGUAA
RNAcentral lists this ribosomal RNA (478 nucleotides) under uncultured bacterium. RNAcentral describes it as "partial 16S ribosomal RNA". It matches the Rfam family "Bacterial small subunit ribosomal RNA", at positions 28 to 523 of the family's 1533-position model. The record is from RNAcentral.